Molecule: long non-coding RNA, 523 nt
Organism: Etheostoma spectabile (orangethroat darter)
Lineage: Eukaryota; Metazoa; Chordata; Actinopteri; Perciformes; Percidae
Exons: 4
Source: RefSeq, a predicted model, not a curated record
UCUCUCUCUCUGUUUCUUUCUCUAGCUCACUCCACCACUUUGUUUAUCUAACCGUUAGCAACCCUCUCUCUCUCUCUCUCUGUUGUUUCUCUAGCUUGCCUCCACCACUUUGUUUAUCUAACGUUAGCACCCCUCUCUCUCUCUCUCUCUCUGUUGUUUCUCUAGCUCACUCCACCACUUUGUUUAUCUAACGUUAGCACCCCCUCUCUCUCUCUCUUCUGUUGUUUCUCUAGCUUGCUCCACCACUUUUUUAUCUAACGUUAGCACCCCUCUCUCUCUCUCCUCUCUCUCUCUGUUGUUUCUCCUCGCUCACUCCACCCACUUUUGUUUAUCUAACGUUAGCACCCCACCUCUCUCUCUCUCCUCUCUCUCUCUCUCUGUUGUUUCUCUAGCUCGCUCCACCACUUUGUUUAUCUAACGUUAGCACCAAUCCACAUAGCUCACUAGGAUACUGCAGCAACAGCUGUUGUUAUAGCAACAGAAGACGCUCUCGGCUGCUUUGCUUUUUUGUUUUUUAAAUCAC